Octodon degus (degu) is the source of this 1104-nucleotide long non-coding RNA. RefSeq lists it as uncharacterized. The record is from RefSeq and is a predicted model, not a curated record. The transcript is spliced from 3 exons. Lineage: Eukaryota; Metazoa; Chordata; Mammalia; Rodentia; Octodontidae.
CAUGGCACACCAGGGAUGGGACCCCACUGGGGAUCGAACUGCUUUUGCUUCUUUCCUGCUCAACUGAUCUGGAAUGUGGUUCACCGUAACCACAUACGAGGCCGACACCACUGAUACUGGAAGCAACUUGGGUCCUUGGUUGCUGAUGCCGGACCCUGUGUUUGCCAGUAUUUUUUAGUGAUGAGGAAUUGUACAUCAUGUUUACAAAUGCAGCUCUAACUUACAUGAACAAGAUGUACUGCAGUUUCUUUCGACCCACGUGCAAGCAACCUACACAGUGAUGAGAAUCAUGCAUUUUUUAUCCUAUGUGAAAAAAAUUUUUGAUAAGGCUUUGAAAUUGUAUAGAUUGAUGAGAAUUUCGCUCUGGAGAUGCUAUCAUUUAACUCCUGGAUGCUGAAAAAGAGAAGAUCAGCUGUCCAUGCCUACGGGUUAAUGAAACCAAAGCCUGUUGAUAUCUGUUCACUUGAAAAUUAAAAUAUAGGAUGACCUGGCAGCGUAACAUAAAGAAGAAAAUUGAGGCCUGAAUAAUGUUAAGAAAUGAAUUUUACUUGGCAAAAUGAGCACAUUGCAAGUACUUAUGAAGUAGUCAGUAAAAGAGAAAAGCCUGGUGUGAUUAAGGUACAUUUAUCACCAAAUGAAGCUUUCACAGAAAACAGAACAGGAAGAACACCGCUAGCUUUUCUGUUUCCCUGGGAUUUUUCCAAAUCCCAACAUUUCUCACCAAGAGGGGAUGUGUAUGCAAGCCUUAUCUUUCUUUCUCCUUCAUUAACAGUGAUCUUCAGAUUAACCCUUUGGUGCUAGGAGCCGACGUUUUCUAAAGUAACCUAUGAAGUCCAGGGGGCAGGAGCCCUGCCUGCGGUGAGCUGGAGGCACAAGCUUGCUGGACUGAUCAUGGAGAUGUACUCCAAUUAGUCUCUGACAGCUUCCAUACAGAAGACUGCAUCGCGACAUAGUGGAAUGGUUGCUUCAUGGGAGAGCAUGUGCCCUUCCAGAAGGGGACUCGUGUCCAUGUGCAGGUAUCGUGGAAGUGUAGAUUUAGGGCUCAGAGACCACUGCGGUUGGUGCUUGGGCCUCUGGGGCUGAGAGGGGAUUAAAGGUAUUUUA